Molecule: ribosomal RNA, 970 nt
Filed under: Staphylococcus aureus
Lineage: Bacteria; Bacillati; Bacillota; Bacilli; Caryophanales; Staphylococcaceae
Also listed under: 2 other names
Description: bacterial SSU rRNA
Rfam family: Bacterial small subunit ribosomal RNA
Source: RNAcentral
CGGCGUGCCUAAUACAUGCAAGUCGAGCGAACGGACGAGAAGCUUGCUUCUCUGAUGUUAGCGGCGGACGGGUGAGUAACACGUGGAUAACCUACCUAUAAGACUGGGAUAACUUCGGGAAACCGGAGCUAAUACCGGAUAAUAUUUUGAACCGCAUGGUUCAAAAGUGAAAGACGGUCUUGCUGUCACUUAUAGAUGGAUCCGCGCUGCAUUAGCUAGUUGGUAAGGUAACGGCUUACCAAGGCAACGAUGCAUAGCCGACCUGAGAGGGUGAUCGGCCACACUGGAACUGAGACACGGUCCAGACUCCUACGGGAGGCAGCAGUAGGGAAUCUUCCGCAAUGGGCGAAAGCCUGACGGAGCAACGCCGCGUGAGUGAUGAAGGUCUUCGGAUCGUAAAACUCUGUUAUUAGGGAAGAACAUAUGUGUAAGUAACUGUGCACAUCUUGACGGUACCUAAUCAGAAAGCCACGGCUAACUACGUGCCAGCAGCCGCGGUAAUACGUAGGUGGCAAGCGUUAUCCGGAAUUAUUGGGCGUAAAGCGCGCGUAGGCGGUUUUUUAAGUCUGAUGUGAAAGCCCACGGCUCAACCGUGGAGGGUCAUUGGAAACUGGAAAACUUGAGUGCAGAAGAGGAAAGUGGAAUUCCAUGUGUAGCGGUGAAAUGCGCAGAGAUAUGGAGGAACACCAGUGGCGAAGGCGACUUUCUGGUCUGUAACUGACGCUGAUGUGCGAAAGCGUGGGGAUCAAACAGGAUUAGAUACCCUGGUAGUCCACGCCGUAAACGAUGAGUGCUAAGUGUUAGGGGGUUUCCGCCCCUUAGUGCUGCAGCUAACGCAUUAAGCACUCCGCCUGGGGAGUACGACCGCAAGGUUGAAACUCAAAGGAAUUGACGGGGACCCGCACAAGCGGUGGAGCAUGUGGUUUAAUUCGAAGCAACGCGAAGAACCUUACCAAAUCUUGACAUCCUU